GCUCCACAGAAUCCGAAUCCGAACCCGAAUCUGAUUGUGGAUCUGGAUCUGAAUCCCCUUGGAAGCGUUCUAAAUUUGCGGAUGUUUACAAGCUUGGCACCCAAAAAAAAGAAGACAACGCAAACAUCGCACCAUUCUAGCACUGAAAAUGAAAUGGACCUACAAUAGCUUAAUGUAACUUAUAACAUUCAUGUGAAUGCACCUUGCACCAACUCAAAGAAUUCUAAAAUCAAUAUCUAUAAUAUAUAAUCCCGAAAAUCAGUUAUAAUAUUAUUUAAAUCUUACCUUCUAGAUAGCAACC
This is a non-coding RNA of Drosophila melanogaster (fruit fly), 301 nucleotides long. Lineage: Eukaryota; Metazoa; Arthropoda; Insecta; Diptera; Drosophilidae. The record is from Ensembl.